CUUUCCCUCUUUCCCCCGGCCUAACACAUGCAAGUCGAGCGGAUGAAGGGAGCUUGCUCCUGGAUUCAGCGGCGGACGGGUGAGUAAUGCCUAGGAAUCUGCCUGGUAGUGGGGGAUAACGUCCGGAAACGGGCGCUAAUACCGCAUACGUCCUGAGGGAGAAAGUGGGGGAUCUUCGGACCUCACGCUAUCAGAUGAGCCUAGGUCGGAUUAGCUAGUUGGUGGGGUAAAGGCCUACCAAGGCGACGAUCCGUAACUGGUCUGAGAGGAUGAUCAGUCACACUGGAACUGAGACACGGUCCAGACUCCUACGGGAGGCAGCAGUGGGGAAUAUUGGACCAUGGGCGAAAGCCUGAUCCAGCCAUGCCGCGUGUGUGAAGAAGGUCUUCGGAUUGUAAAGCGCUUUAAGUUGGGAGGAAGGGCAGUAAGUUAAUACCUUGCUGUUUUGACGUUACCAACAGAAUAAGCACCGGCUAACUUCGUG
This 484-nucleotide ribosomal RNA is filed under the name uncultured bacterium. RNAcentral describes it as "partial 16S ribosomal RNA". It matches the Rfam family "Bacterial small subunit ribosomal RNA", at positions 36 to 507 of the family's 1533-position model. The record is from RNAcentral.